Molecule: long non-coding RNA, 814 nt
Filed under: Callithrix jacchus (white-tufted-ear marmoset)
Lineage: Eukaryota; Metazoa; Chordata; Mammalia; Primates; Cebidae
Description: lncRNA (ENSCJAG00000064153.2)
Source: RNAcentral
GAAAUGAUUUGGGACUCUGAGGGCCUGAUUAAACCUCAGGAUAAAUUGGUGGAAGGAAAUCACCAAGGAACGGUGGCUACAGGGGCGUUCCAGGAGACAGGCGGAAUUCUUGGCCUCAGCGCUCUCUUAUACCAGAGUAGAAACUCUGUGUGGCACAGGAAGACUUUAACUAAAUCUCAUUUCUUCUUGUCACCUUCCCUUGGAGGAAUCUCAACAGAUGCCUUUUGCUUUCUGCAUGGGAGUCUCUGGGUCUCUUUUUCACAUUCUCCCUCCUGCCUGGACUCUUCUGAGUUUUGAUUCAUGUACUCAGCUUUCUCUCUGAUGUGUCAUCUCCAUACAUCACACAGAGAAGAGAGAAAAGGAGAUGUGGUCUUUGUUCUGAGCAGUUGGGUUGCUGGAAACUCAUCAUUCGUCAACACACAGGAGGCAGAGAGGGAGACGGAACAGAGCCAAGCUCUCUCCCCUGUGCACAGAGCAAACAGGUGAGGCAGAUGGUGGGAGGGUUUUUGCCUCAUCAAAGAGAUAUGUGGAUUGAAAAGUCUGAGACUCAGUGCUUGCAGCAAUUGCAGAGAGAGAGAUUGCAAGGCAAAUAUCAAUGCCUAGCUCUUGAAGAGGCUUCUGGAAUGCUGCCCAAGUCCACACUGAGAAUGAGGGCGGGAUCCUCUGCCCCUUGAGGAGACUCCGCUGGUUGUCUGGAUUCGUCCUGAGAGUCCACGAUGGUUCUCAUGUUCAUAUUGUAAUAUUCUAUUAUUUUAGAAAUUGGAGCUUGUCAAAAAACACUGUAGCUAAUUUUUCAAUUGUCCUCAAUGCCUUG